AACGAACGCUGGCGGCAUGCCUAACACAUGCAAGUCGAACGAAGCCUUCGGGCUUAGUGGCGCACGGGUGCGUAACGCGUGGGAAUCUGCCCUUUGGUUCGGAAUAACAGUUGGAAACGACUGCUAAUACCGGAUGAUGACGAAAGUCCAAAGAUUUAUCGCCAGAGGAUGAGCCCGCGUAGGAUUAGCUAGUUGGUGUGGUAAAGGCGCACCAAGGCGACGAUCCUUAGCUGGUCUGAGAGGACGAUCAGCCACACUGGGACUGAGACACGGCCCAGACUCCUACGGGAGGCAGCAGUGGGGAAUAUUGGACAAUGGGCGAAAGCCUGAUCCAGCAAUGCCGCGUGAGUGAUGAAGGCCCUAGGGUUGUAAAGCUCUUUUACCCGGGAUGAUAAUGACAGUACCGGGAGAAUAAGCCCCAGCUAACUCCGUGCCAGCAGCCGCAGUAA
Molecule: ribosomal RNA, 449 nt
Filed under: uncultured bacterium
Lineage: Bacteria
Description: partial 16S ribosomal RNA
Rfam family: Bacterial small subunit ribosomal RNA
Source: RNAcentral